GAUGAACGCUGGCGGCGUGCCUAAUACAUGCAAGUCGAGCGAACGGACGAGAAGCUUGCUUCUCUGAUGUUAGCGGCGGACGGGUGAGUAACACGUGGAUAACCUACCUAUAAGACUGGGAUAACUUCGGGAAACCGGAGCUAAUACCGGAUGAUAUUUUGAACCGCAUGGUUCAAAAGUGAAAGACGGUCUUGCUGUCACUUAUAGAUGGAUCCGCGCUGCAUUAGCUAGUUGGUAAGGUAACGGCUUACCAAGGCAACGAUGCAUAGCCGACCUGAGAGGGUGAUCGGCCACACUGGAACUGAGACACGGUCCAGACUCCUACGGGAGGCAGCAGUAGGGAAUCUUCCGAAAUGGGCGAAAGCCUGACGGAGCAACGCCGCGUGAGUGAUGAAGGUCUUCGGAUCGUAAAACUCUGUUAUUAGGGAAGAACAUAUGUGUAAGUAACUGUGCACAUCUUGACGGUACCGAAUCAGAAAGCCACGGCUAACUACGU
RNAcentral lists this ribosomal RNA (496 nucleotides) under uncultured bacterium. RNAcentral describes it as "partial 16S ribosomal RNA". It matches the Rfam family "Bacterial small subunit ribosomal RNA", at positions 28 to 506 of the family's 1533-position model. The record is from RNAcentral.